AACGAACGCUGGCGGCAUGCCUAACACAUGCAAGUCGAACGAGACCUUCGGGUCUAGUUGCGCACGGGUGCGUAACGCGUGGGAACCUGCCCGUAGGUUCGGAAUAACUCCCCGAAAGGGGUGCUAAUACCGGAGAAUGUCUUCGGACCAAAGAUUUAUCGCCUUUGGAUGGGCCCGCGUUGGAUUAGCUAGUUGGUAGGGUAAAAGCCUACCAAGGCGGCGAUCCAUAGCUGGUCUGAGAGGAUGAUCAGCCACACUGGGACUGAGACACGGCCCAGAAUCCUACGGGAGGCAGCAGUGGGGAAUAUUGGACGAUGGGCGAAAGCCUGAUACAGCAAUGCCGCGUGAGUGAUGAAGGCCUUAGGGUUGUAAAGCUCUUUUACACGGGAUGAUAAUGACAGUACCGGGAGAAUAAGCUCCGGCUAACUACGUG
Molecule: ribosomal RNA, 433 nt
Filed under: uncultured bacterium
Lineage: Bacteria
Description: partial 16S ribosomal RNA
Rfam family: Bacterial small subunit ribosomal RNA
Source: RNAcentral